CGAGCAUAGAAGUAGCAAUACGUUGGUGGCGACCGGCGCACGGGUGAGUAACGCGUAUGCAACCUACCUAUCAGAGGGGAAUAACCCGGCGAAAGUACGGACUAAUACCGCAUAAAACAGGGGCACCGCAUGGUGAUAUUUGUUAAAGAAAUUCGCUGAUAGAUGGGCAUGCGUUCCAUUAGGUAGUUGGUGAGGUAACGGCUCACCAAGCCGACGAUGGAUAGGGAACUGAGAGGUUGGUCCCCCACACUGGUACUGAGACACGGACCAGACUCCUACGGGAGGCAGCAGUGAGGAAUAUUGGUCAAUGGGCGGGAGCCUGAACCAGCCAAGUCGCGUGAAGGAAGAAGGAUCUAUGGUUCGUAAACUUCUUUGCAGGGGAAUAAAGUGCAGGACGUGUCCUGUUUUGUAUGUACCCUGAGAAUAAGGAUCGGCUAACUCCGUGCCAGCCGCCGC
RNAcentral lists this ribosomal RNA (456 nucleotides) under uncultured bacterium. RNAcentral's name for it is "bacterial SSU rRNA". It matches the Rfam family "Bacterial small subunit ribosomal RNA", at positions 63 to 518 of the family's 1533-position model. The record is from RNAcentral.